UAGGUGGCAAGCGUUGUCCGGAAUUAUUGGGCGUAAAGCGCGCGCAGGCGGUCCUUUAAGUCUGAUGUGAAAGCCCACGGCUCAACCGUGGAGGGUCAUUGGAAACUGGGGGACUUGAGUGCAGGAGAGAAAAGUGGAAUUCCACGUGUAGCGGUGAAAUGCGUAGAGAUGUGGAGGAACACCAGUGGCGAAGGCGACUUUUUGGCCUGUAACUGACGCUGAGGCUCGAAAGCGUGGGUAGCAAACAGGAUUAGAUACCCUGGUAGUCCACGCCGUAAACGAUGAGUGCUAAGUGUUGGAGGGUUUCCGCCCUUCAGUGCUGCAGUUA
This 328-nucleotide ribosomal RNA is filed under the name uncultured Bacillus sp. RNAcentral's name for it is "bacterial SSU rRNA". It matches the Rfam family "Bacterial small subunit ribosomal RNA", at positions 528 to 854 of the family's 1533-position model. The record is from RNAcentral. Lineage: Bacteria; Bacillati; Bacillota; Bacilli; Caryophanales; Bacillaceae.